Molecule: ribosomal RNA, 477 nt
Filed under: Triticum aestivum (bread wheat)
Lineage: Eukaryota; Viridiplantae; Streptophyta; Magnoliopsida; Poales; Poaceae
Description: partial small subunit ribosomal RNA
Source: RNAcentral
AUGACGGGGGGCUCGCCGUUGCCGAGCCAAGCCGGAGCAACGCCCAGCCGCCUAAAGCAGAAUGCCCCUGCGUCUUCCGCCUUCGCCUCCUCCUCCACCUCCUUAGGGACGGACGAAGCGGACGAGGGGGGCAUUGAGGAGCUAGAGAGGGAGGUGGCCGAUCUGGGCCGCCGAACACUCGAGCACCGCCGUGACGCCGCCGCCCGCUUCAUAGACGCAACAAUAUCGCGCCUCGUCGCCUUCCGCCCGCCCGCCUGCGUAGAAGUUCCAAGUGAAGCACAAUCUACCGCUGCAACCUCGCACGCUGAAGCUGAACAAAAUAUGGUUGAAAAGCUAAAGUUGUUCAAAUCCAAGACUGAGGCAAAUAUCGCGGCCGUGCCCAAGGUACUGGAGAAAAUGAACGCAUGUAUUGCUCGGAUGGAGAAGGUGGAGGGAUUGAAUGUGAAUAUACAUCCUGUUUUCCAAAGAAAAUGGUAG